AUACGUAGGGUGCGAGCGUUAUCCGGAAUUAUUGGGCGUAAAGAGUACGUAGGUGGUUUUGUAAGCGUGAGGUGAAAGCCCGGGGCUUAACUCCGGCGAGCCUCACGAACUGCCAGACUUGAGGGCAGGAGGGGGAAGUGGGAUUCCUAGUGUAGCGGUGAAAUGCGUAGAUAUUAGGAGGAACACCGGUGGCGAAGGCGACUUUCUGGACUGUAACUGACACUGAGGUACGAAAGCGUGGGGAGCAAACAGGAUUAGAUACCCUGGUAGUCCACGCCGCAAACGAUGAGCACUAGUUGUUGGGACCGAGAGGUUUCGGUGACGCAGUUAACGCAAUAAGUGCUCCGCCUGGGGAGUACGCACGCAAGUGUGAAACUCAAAGGAAUUGACGGGG
This 394-nucleotide ribosomal RNA is filed under the name uncultured bacterium. RNAcentral describes it as "partial 16S ribosomal RNA". It matches the Rfam family "Bacterial small subunit ribosomal RNA", at positions 523 to 918 of the family's 1533-position model. The record is from RNAcentral.